RNAcentral lists this long non-coding RNA (1567 nucleotides) under Homo sapiens (human). Its description in RNAcentral is "HSALNT0399367". Lineage: Eukaryota; Metazoa; Chordata; Mammalia; Primates; Hominidae. The record is from RNAcentral.
GGAGGAACAGCCAAGAGGGAGGCCGGGCCAGGGGCUGGUGGCUUCCUCCGCGAGCUCUGCCAGUUUCUGGCCUCAGGUCCUGAGUUGUUAUCGCAAGUCCAGGAAGAAUGAGGUUACUCAGGCAACUGGAGGGUGAGGAUGGAGAAGAGCUUUAUUGAGCAACAGAACAGCUCUCAGCAGAGAGGAGACCCAAAGUGGGUAGCUCCUACCUGCAGGAAGGUUUCUGAAGGGGGCCAAGAUGGCCCAAUAGGAACAGCUCCAGUCUGCAGCUCCCAGAAAGACCAACGCAGAAGGCAGAUGAUGAAUUAGAGCGGUUGUUAUCGAAUCUGCCACCAGAGGGCGAUCCAGGCUGAAGGUGACAUUACACUUAGAGGGAUCCACAGAUUCAAGAGGCUGCUUGGGGAGGGCAGCACAGUGAAGUACAAGGACUUUGACAUCAGAGAGGCCUGGAUUCAAGUCCCAAUUUCUGUGUGUGGUAACCAGUCUGCAAGACAGCCUGUGAUGGUUCCUGCCUCCUCGUAUUCAUGUCCUUCUUAGUUCCCUUGCGCAUUGAAUCAGGGCUGGCUCUGGGUGACCAAUAGAAUGUGGAGGAAGUGAUGGGGUGUGAAUUCCGAGGCUAGGUCACAAAAGGCAUUGUAUCUUCCACCUCUUAGAUCUCUCUCUCUGCGGAAGCCAGCCACCGCUCUCCAAGGACUCUCGAGCAGCUCCAUCUACAGAUUCACAUGGAGAAGAAUUAAGGGUUCCUGCCAAUCACCAGCACCACUUUGCCAGCCUUGUAAGUGGGCCACCUUGGAAUUGGAGCCUCCAGUUCCUACUGACAUCUGACUGCAACAUCAUGAGAGACCCUGAGUUUGAACCACCCAGCUGAGCUGCUUCUGAGCUAACCCACUGAAACCGUUCCUUAGAUCCUGGGAUGAGGAGGUGGACCAGCAGAAGGUGGGCUUGUGAAGGCAGCCCGGGGUCCAAAUCCUCCUGGCUCUUCAGCUUAGCGGGUUAGUUAACAUUCAGAAGCCUUCAUCUCCCAUCUGCAAAAUGGGCAUGUCCAACUCAGAAGCUGCCUUGAAGAAAGGGUCUACCCAGCAUGGUGCGUGGAGCCUAAGCAGUCAGUACUUCAGGACUUCACCCGGCCCCUUUCCAAUAACUGCUGCUGUCGCCCUCACAGGAUGUCACCUUCAGCGUCUGAAAGCUGGGUUUGAUGCGUCUGGAAAGGCGUCCCUGACAGGCGUCGUUGCCAGGAGCCCCUAGUGCCACCAGCAGCCAGCAGGGGAGGGCGUCCUCUGCCCGCUCACUUCUGACCCUUCUCUCGUUGCACCCGGAACAUGGUGCAGCUGGGAGCAGCCUGGGCUGCGCGGAAGGCUCAGAUUUGGGGACGGCCCUUGCCAGUGACUGUGAGCUGGGGUGUCUUGGAAACUCCCAGUCUCAGCUUCUCCAUUUAUAAGAUGAGAAUGAUCAUACCAGACUCAGGCAAGGUUGUUUGUGCAUUAGUGAAAUCAGACGUAUUAAAUAAAGUACCACAUUGAUCGUGGAGUUGUUGAAUAACCAAGAACACGCCUAUCUGUCUCCAAAA